Molecule: small nucleolar RNA, 74 nt
Organism: Conger conger (European conger)
Lineage: Eukaryota; Metazoa; Chordata; Actinopteri; Anguilliformes; Congridae
Source: RefSeq, a predicted model, not a curated record
AAAUGAUGAAGCCAAACUGAAAAUAGCUGGAAUUACCGGCAGAUUGUUCGGUGGUGAUACUCGGUUUCCUGAAC